Molecule: transfer RNA, 74 nt
Filed under: Phrynosoma platyrhinos (Desert horned lizard)
Lineage: Eukaryota; Metazoa; Chordata; Lepidosauria; Squamata; Phrynosomatidae
Description: tRNA-OTHER
Source: RNAcentral
GGUUGGGUGUGGUGUAGUGGUUUGAGUAUUGGACUGUGACUCUGGAGACCACGGUUUGAUUCCCUGCUCAGCCA